UCCUUAAUAGUUCAAUAGUAGAGCGGUCGGCUGUUAACUUACUGGUCGUAGCUUCGAAUCCUACUUGAGAAG
This 72-nucleotide transfer RNA is filed under the name Jatropha curcas. It matches the Rfam family "tRNA". Rfam says of the family: Transfer RNA (tRNA) molecules are approximately 80 nucleotides in length. Their secondary structure includes four short double-helical elements and three loops (D, anti-codon, and T loops). The record is from Rfam by way of RNAcentral. Lineage: Eukaryota; Viridiplantae; Streptophyta; Magnoliopsida; Malpighiales; Euphorbiaceae.